Molecule: ribosomal RNA, 2131 nt
Filed under: Bacteroides fragilis str. 3725 D9(v)
Lineage: Bacteria; Pseudomonadati; Bacteroidota; Bacteroidia; Bacteroidales; Bacteroidaceae
Description: bacterial LSU rRNA
Rfam family: Bacterial large subunit ribosomal RNA
Source: RNAcentral
AGGGCGCAUGGCGGAUGCCUUGGCUCUCGGAGGCGAUGAAGGACGUGAUAAGCUGCGAUAAGCUUCGGGUAGGUGCAAAUGACCUUUGAUCCGAAGAUUUCCGAAUGGGACAACCCGGCAUUCUGAAGGAAUGUCAUCCAACUAAGUUGGAGGCUAACGCAGGGAACUGAAACAUCUUAGUACCUGCAGGAAAAGAAAAUAAAUAAUGAUUCCCCUAGUAGUGGCGAGCGAACGGGGAUUAGCCCAAACCACCCAUGUUACGGCAUGUGUGGGGUUGUAGGACCACGCUCUCGCAAGACAGUUAUUGAGAAGAAACGACUGGAAAGUCGUGCCAUAGACGGUGAUAGCCCGGUAUUCUAAGGUAACCGAAGCGUAGUGGUAUCCUGAGUAGCGCGGAGCACGAGGAAUUCUGCGUGAACCAGCCGGGACCAUCCGGUAAGGCUAAAUACUCCCGAGAGACCGAUAGCGAACCAGUACUGUGAAGGAAAGGUGAAAAGCACUUCGAAUAGAAGAGUGAAAUAGUCCCUGAAACCAUGCGCCUACAAGCGGUCGGAGCAGCUUAAGUUGUGACGGCGUGCCUUUUGCAUAAUGAACCUACGAGUUACUUUUUCCGGCAAGGUUAAGCAUCUUGAGAUGUGGAUCCGAAGCGAAAGCGAGUCUGAACAGGGCGGAUAGUCGGAAGGAGUAGACGCGAAACCAAGUGAUCUACCCUUGGGCAGGUUGAAGGUUAGGUAACACUAACUGGAGGACCGAACCGAUAAGCGUUGAAAAGCUUCCGGAUGACCUGAGGGUGGGGGGGAAAGGCUAAUCAAACUUGGAGAUAGCUCGUACUCCCCGAAAUGCAUUUAGGUGCAGCCUUGAGAGUUACUAAUGUGAGGUAGAGCGACUGAUAAGAUGCGAGGGCUUCACCGCCUAUCAAGUCUUGAUAAACUCCGAAUGCGCAUUAGUUCUAUCUCAGGAGUGAGGGCAUGGGUGCUAAGGUCCAUGUCCUAAAGGAGAAGAAUCCAGACCAUCAGCUAAGGUCCCCAAAUAAACACUAAGUUGAACUAACGAAGUCAGAUUGCUAAGACAGCUAGGAUGUUGGCUUGGAAGCAGCCAUUCAUUUAAAGAGUGCGUAACAGCUCACUAGUCGAGGAGUUUGGCGUGGAUAAUAAUCGGGCAUAAGUGUUUUACCGAAGCUAUGGGAUCCUAACGGAUCGGUAGGGGAGCAUUCCACUCAGCGUUGAAGGCGAAGCGUGAGCUUUACUGGAGCGUGUGGAAAAGCAAAUGUAGGUAUAAGUAACGAUAAAGGGGGUGAGAAACCCCCUCGCCGCAAGACUAAGGUUUCCUGAUCAACGCUAAUCGGAUCAGGGUUAGUCGGGUCCUAAGGCUCAGCCGAACGGUGAGGCCGAUGGCAGAACAGGUUAAUAUUCCUGUACUACCUGUAGGAGUGAUGUGGAGACGGAGGAGUGACAACGCCGCGGACUGACGGAAUAGUCCGUUAAAGGGUGUAGAUGUUGAUUAUCCCAGGCAAAUCCGGGAUAAGAGUCGAACCUGACAGUAUACCAAUUUCCUCGGAAAACGGUAAUAGUGCGUGUAAACAUACUCCCAAGAAAAUCCGCUAAACUUAAUCUUACAGGUACCCGUACCGUAAACGGACACACGUAGUCGGGUUGAAUAUACUCAGGCGCUUGAGUGAAUCACGGUUAAGGAACUAGGCAAAUUGACCCUGUAACUUCGGGAUAAAGGGUCCCUACCCGGUGACGGGAGGGCGCAGAGAAUAGGUCCAGGCAACUGUUUAACAAAAACACAGGGCUGUGCAAAAUUGAAAGAUCACGUAUACAGCCUGACACCUGCCCGGUGCUGGAAGGUUAAGAGGAGAUGUCAUCGCAAGAGAAGCAUUGAAUUGAAGCCCCAGUAAACGGCGGCCGUAACUAUAACGGUCCUAAGGUAGCGAAAUUCCUUGUCGGGUAAGUUCCGACCUGCACGAAUGGUGUAAUGAUCUGGACACUGUCUCAACCGUGAGCUCAGUGAAAUUGUAGUAUCGGUGAAGAUGCCGAUUACCCGCGAUGGGACGAAAAGACCCCGUGAACCUUUACUAUAGCUUAACAUUGAAUUUGGGUAAUUGAUGUGUAGGAUAGGCCGGAGACUU